Molecule: ribosomal RNA, 497 nt
Filed under: uncultured bacterium
Lineage: Bacteria
Description: partial 16S ribosomal RNA
Rfam family: Bacterial small subunit ribosomal RNA
Source: RNAcentral
GAUGAACGCUGGCGGCGUGCCUAAUACAUGCAAGUCGAGCGAACAGACGAGGAGCUUGCUCCUCUGACGUUAGCGGCGGACGGGUGAGUAACACGUGGAUAACCUACCUAUAAGACUGGGAUAACUUCGGGAAACCGGAGCUAAUACCGGAUAACAUGUUGAACCGCAUGGUUUAACAGUGAAAGACGGUCUUGCUGUCACUUAUAGAUGGAUCCGCGCCGCAUUAGCUAGUUGGUAAGGUAACGGCUUACCAAGGCAACGAUGCGUAGCCGACCUGAGAGGGUGAUCGGCCACACUGGAACUGAGACACGGUCCAGACUCCUACGGGAGGCAGCAGUAGGGAAUCUUCCGCAAUGGGCGAAAGCCUGACGGAGCAACGCCGCGUGAGUGAAGAAGGUCUUCGGAUCGUAAAACUCUGUUAUUAGGGAAGAGCAAAUGUGUAAGUAACUAUGCACGUCUUGACGGUACCUAAUCAGAAAGCCACGGCUAACUACGUG